AGUGAACGCUGGCGGUAGGCCUAACACAUGCAAGUCGAACGGCAGCACCGUAAGAGCUUGCUCUUACGGGUGGCGAGUGGCGGACGGGUGAGGAAUACAUCGGAAUCUACUUUUUCGUGGGGGAUAACGUAGGGAAACUUACGCUAAUACCGCAUACGACCUACGGGUGAAAGCAGGGGAUCUUCGGACCUUGCGCGAUUGAAUGAGCCGAUGUCGGAUUAGCUAGUUGGCGGGGUAAAGGCCCACCAAGGCGACGAUCCGUAGCCGGUCUGAGAGGAUGAUCAGCCACACUGGAACUGAGACACGGUCCAGACUACUACGGGAGGCAGCAGUGGGGAAUAUUGGGCAAUGGGCGCAAGCCUGAUCCAGCCAUACCGCGUGGGUGAAGAAGGCCUUCGGGUUGUAAAGCCCUUUUGUUGGGAAAGAAAAGCAGCAGGUUAAUACCCCGCUGUUCUGACGGUACCCAAAGAAUAAGCACCGGCUAACUUCGUG
Molecule: ribosomal RNA, 492 nt
Filed under: uncultured bacterium
Lineage: Bacteria
Description: partial 16S ribosomal RNA
Rfam family: Bacterial small subunit ribosomal RNA
Source: RNAcentral